CUUGUCCUCAUUCGUAAGUCGCUUUGGAUAAAAGCGUCUGCUAAAUGACUAAAU
Molecule: non-coding RNA, 54 nt
Organism: Danio rerio (zebrafish)
Lineage: Eukaryota; Metazoa; Chordata; Actinopteri; Cypriniformes; Danionidae
Source: Rfam